GUAACGGUGAGCGAAUUAGGAACAACCCAGUUUAAGAAUCGAGCGGCCUUGUUAACCGA
RNAcentral lists this ribosomal RNA (59 nucleotides) under Iris domestica. RNAcentral's name for it is "partial 26S ribosomal RNA". The record is from RNAcentral. Lineage: Eukaryota; Viridiplantae; Streptophyta; Magnoliopsida; Asparagales; Iridaceae.